Molecule: ribosomal RNA, 253 nt
Filed under: uncultured bacterium
Lineage: Bacteria
Description: partial 16S ribosomal RNA
Rfam family: Bacterial small subunit ribosomal RNA
Source: RNAcentral
UACGUAGGCAGCAAGCGUUGUUCGGAGUUACUGGGCGUAAAGGGUGCGUAGGCGGCUUGGUAAGUGUGGUGUGAAAUCUCCCGGCUCAACUGGGAGGGUGCGCUACAAACUGCCGGGCUAGAGUGCGGGAGAGGAGAGUGGAAUUCCUGGUGUAGCGGUGAAAUGCGCAGAUAUCGGGAAGAACACCCGUGGCUAAGGCGGCUCUCUAGUACGGUACUGACGCUGAGACGCGAAAGCGUGGGGAGCGAACAGG